Molecule: long non-coding RNA, 1495 nt
Organism: Ceratina calcarata
Lineage: Eukaryota; Metazoa; Arthropoda; Insecta; Hymenoptera; Apidae
Exons: 2
Source: RefSeq, a predicted model, not a curated record
AGUUCGGAUGCUUCGAGAGCUGAGUACACACGUCGUAUCGACCAUUGAUAAUGAAAUACCGUGACAAAUGUUCGAACGCUUUUGAGAAUUCUCCCCGUUGUGCGAAUCGGCACGGGCGCGUUAAGUUCUCACGAUGCAAUUCGUGACAGGUGCACGCUAAAGAUAUCCCCUUUAAACACAGGUUCAAAGUGAGGCGGUAAUUUAUUGAUCCACGCGGCAAUGUUCAAUCCGCUUUCAGAGAUUAAGCAAAGGUACGUGUAGCAAAAAGGUUAACAUCGUUCCCCUUUGUCUACGGUUCUCCUGUUUUUGAAUACUUUCCUGGUACGUCCGUGAACCUGGGAACGUCGAACGGGGGCCAGGAAUCGGGCAACGAUGAGGGAUUUAACAUCUGGCCGUCGCGCGGGCACACACGAGGUUCUUACGAGUUAAGACGAUUCGCAAACGGACGUGUUCACCGACGGAACGAAGCUCGUGACCGAAGGCUGCUACGAAUCAAGGUUAUCCUACCGUACCGUGCAAUUUCACCGAUAAUAGGACAAUUCCGACUGCACCAAUGGCUUUUUACCGCGUUUCUUGGACACCAUUGUCGGCACACUUGUUUUAUGGAACAAAACUAACGUUUGCAUCGUAAAUCCCGGGUCUCGCCUCUGUCACCUUUGAAUAAAAGAUGAAAUAUACUUUUCUUCGGGCACUGGCGAGCUGUAUACUUUAAUUAAAUGCAAUUCGGAUCAACGAGACACGGAAAUUUCACCGGUUACAGUAAAUUACGGUGCCUCGAAGGAGAUCGUAACGACAGGAAAUUGUGGUAAACGUCCAGAGGCCGCGUUACAGUUUUGUUUACGAAUGGAUCGCGACCGACCAGGAAAUGACCAACAAUUCCCAUGGAAAAUAUUAGCAAAUGGCCUAGUGUUCCAUGAAUACGUUAGCUCUUCUUCCAGUUGAUUGCUUCCAACGAGAGGUUGCCGACUUUUCAAAGAAACGCGGUGUUAUUGCCCGCGAAGUGGAGCGGCGGAGCAUUUAAGGAUUUGAUCAGUUCGAGGAGAAAUAGAAUGACUAACUUCGUUGUCCAAAUCAGAAGACACAUGCAGUUCGAUAAAAAAAUAUUAAAGGACAGAACAGAUGGAAAGAGUUUAAUUAUACAGAAUUGUGGGAACGUCGCUGCAGACGUGGGAGACUUGGAAUCCCAAACUUGAAAGUUAAUGUUAUCUCAUAAACCACCUGAGUUACUGUUUGAUUGCUGCGUGUCUCUCUUAUGACUUGACAGUCGCUUACCAUCCAACAAGAACUCUGAGAGAUCGAAGUGGCUGAACUGUCAAUUGCCUGAGCUUCACGAAAUGAGACCCGUAACAUCGGCUAUUAAAACUUUCGACUCUAACUUAAUCUAGGAUACUUAAAAUCUUCCGAACUAGAAUAAUAAAGCUUGAGCUUUAAGCUCGAAUAUCAUGUGACACGAUUUUAUUAUAAAGACUACAAUAAAACGAUUUGUAUGAAUUGA